GGGGGGCCAAGGAUCCCCUAUAUAACACGGAUACUUCACUUUGUUGCCGUAUCGCGUAUCGGAUACGUAUCCGAUACCGAUACGCGACGGAUACGCGACGGAUACGUAUCCUGGGCGUAUCCGCGGGAUGGGCCGUAUUGGGCCGGGAAACCUCAGAUUCGAUACGUAUCUCGGUGGAUACGGCCCAGUUUAAAGCCCAUCUAAAGGAGCCGGCCCGAUAGAAUUAACGGGCUGGACCAAAAAGCCCAUUUGUGAUGUAGCCCAUUGCAGCUGGAUGAACAAAUCUAGCUCUAUAAAUAAUGAUGCUCUAUACAAUAUAAGAUUCCACACAAUUGAGAAAGCCGCAGCUAGGUCAAAAACUCCCCGCCUCCAUAGAUUCGCAGUAUGGCAUCUCCAAAUCUGAGUGCUACUGCUGCUAGUUCUAGUGCUAGUUCUGCUGCUAGUUCUAGUGUUGGAUCUGGGUCCAGACAAAUAACUGAUAUCAGGGCUCCAUUGUGGGAUCAUGUCACCAUUCUAGAGAAGCCUAAACCUGGUGGAGGAAAUAUAUUAUGGAGAAAGUGAAGAAAGAAAUAUAUUUGUAUGAAGGGAAGGAACCAAAUGAGGAGUCAGACCUCUACUCUGUUAUUCAUGAUAUAUUGAUUGCUAGGUGGACAAAAGGCAAUAAUCCACUUCAUUGUUUGGCUCAUUCACUCAAUCCAAGAUUUUACAGCAACAUGUGGCUUCAAGAAGGUGCUGGCCGACUACCCCCCCACAAGGACAAGGAAAUAUCACAAAUGAGGAUGACUUGCUUCAAGAAAUUCUUUCGCAUACCGCAAGAGUUGGCUGCAGUGAAGGAAGAAUAUGCAAGGUUUCUAGUUGUUCAGAAGAAUUCAAUGACCCUGAUUCUAUACAUGAUAGAUGGGCUGUUUCCCCAAUGACAUGGUGGACAAAUCAUGGACAAUCUAUCCCUCUUUUGAUGAGUUUGGCCAUGAAACUGCUCAGCCAACCGGCCUCUUCUUCUUGCUGUGAAAGAAAUUGGAGCACAUAUAGCUUCAUCCAUAGUGUCAAGAGAAAUGCCUUAACUCCUGAGCGGGCUGAAGAUUUGGUCUUUGUGCACUCAAAUCUGAGACAUUUGUCAAGAAGAACUGAUGCAUACAAGAAAGGAGAGACAAGGAUGUGGGAUGUUGGGGGAGAUUCUUUUGAUUCCCUUAGUGGUGUUGGUCUUCUUGAAGUUGCUGACCUCUCCAUUGAUGAACCUGAGUUGCAGGCUGUAUCAUUUGGAUUGGGUGAUGCCGAGGAUGAAGGUGUGGAGCUGGAGGAGACGGGGAAUGAGGAAGAAGCUUGAUGUUGAUGGCUUGAUGCUAGUUUGCUACUACCUUUUAAUUAUUUCCUAAUUUAGAACCUGCUGCUAUCAUGUUAUUUUGAGUGUAAUAGACCUUUAAUGUCUCUAUGUUGAAUUAGAAUAUCUAUUUUGUAAUUUAUUUUGCACUAUUAUUAUUUAUUAAAAAAAAUAGUUAAAACGUA
Long non-coding RNA from Salvia splendens (bonfire salvia), 1503 nucleotides. RefSeq lists it as uncharacterized. The transcript has 3 exons. The record is from RefSeq and is a predicted model, not a curated record. NCBI's taxonomy places the organism in Eukaryota, Viridiplantae, Streptophyta, Magnoliopsida, Lamiales, Lamiaceae.